CCUACGGGAGGCAGCAGUGAGGAAUAUUGGUCAAUGGACGAGAGUCUGAACCAGCCAAGUAGCGUGAAGGAUGACUGCCCUAUGGGUUGUAAACUUCUUUUAUAUGGGAAUAAAAUGUUCCACGUGUGGGAUUUUGUAUGUACCAUAUGAAUAAGGAUCGGCUAACUCCGUGCCAGCAGCCGCGGUAAUACGGAGGGUCCGAGCGUUAUCCGGAUUUAUUGGGUUUAAAGGGAGCGUAGGUGGAUUGUUAAGUCAGUUGUGAAAGUUUGCGGCACAACCGUAAAAUUGCAGUUGAAACUGGCAGUCUUGAGUACAGUAGAGGUGGGCGGAAUUCGUGGUGUAGCGGUGAAAUGCUUAGAUAUCACGAAGAACUCCGAUUGCGAAGGCAGUUCACUGGACUGCAACUGACACUGAGGCUCGAAAGUGUGGGUAUCAAACAGGAUUAGAUACCCUAGUAGUC
Molecule: ribosomal RNA, 460 nt
Filed under: uncultured bacterium
Lineage: Bacteria
Description: partial 16S ribosomal RNA
Rfam family: Bacterial small subunit ribosomal RNA
Source: RNAcentral